GUUGGGGAAAUAUUUGUUAAAUGGACGAGCUAGGUCUGCCUCCUACACCAAAACUCAAACUUCCUGAAGACAGAGACACUGUUGCUUCCGUCUUCUGUCAUCAAGUCCUUUUGGAAUAUGGGCACAAAUGUGGUGGGGUGCCCAAACAUUCAAUUAAAAUCAGUAGUUAUUUAUUGAGCCUAGAUGCCAAGCACUGGGUAGAAACCAAAAAAUUUAUUUUUGUCAAUUCAGUAAGAUUUUGCCUGCUGUGUACUAGUAUUGGGGGGAGGUUUGGUGGGGGAGAUACAAGAAGACAUUUCUGCCUUCAAAGCAGCGUUUAAACAAUAUAUGUUCUAACUCUAUUCAUUUUAGAGGUAAGGAAACAGACCUAGAAAAUGAACUUGUCUUAAGAUACAGAAUAAACUGGGGCUAAACAAGGUCACCCGGCCACUGAUGGCCGGUUUAAGGAGGUAUCAGGAAUGCCAUUUACAUGUAGAGAUGGAGUGGGAGGCAGAGCUGGAUGUGUUUACGCUGCAGAGAACAGGACACCGAUAGUCUCUAGCUAGUACAGUACAUGGCAGUGUCCAUCUAUAAGUGCACUGAAAGGGGUAGAGGAGGCAGGGCAGGGAGGGAAUGUUCAGGGAGCUAGGACCAGGAGCCCCUGGCCAAAACAAGGCCUGGAAAGGUCGCUACUCUAGAAGAAAUGAAGGAGCAUUUGAAGGUUUUGAGCUGGGAAAGCCUAGAAUCAGAUUUGCCCUUGCUGUUGUCCUCAAGGUUAAACAGCAGCAGAAGAACAACAAAUGAAAAAACCAGAGCCAAGUUUGAGCUAUGAUUAGGGCAUCUCUGCAUCCUGAAAUUGACCUCCACAAUGUGUAGCGGGCAACUUGAAGAUGGAAAGCUGCCUCUGUUUGAAGGAAAAUACCCUUCAAAGCCUGGAGGCAAUGGGCCUUGCUCUCACACUCACCCAGUCCUCUUCAGAGAUAAUCUUUUAGUUGAAGUGAUCUAUUUCCCCCAAAACUACUUCUAAUAUAUUUAGUUAAUAUGAUCUGUUUACUUUUUUAUUUUUUCUUUUUGUAGUGCUGGGGAUUCAAUCCAGGACCUGACACAUUCUCAGCAAGUGCUCUAUCCCUGAGCUGUAUUUUAUAAUAUCUUAUCUCUUCUAGUAGUUUUCUAAUUUAUUUGUUUUUUCAAAAUGAAGCUAUGAGUCUUUCUAGUUA
RNAcentral lists this long non-coding RNA (1196 nucleotides) under Marmota monax (woodchuck). The record is from RNAcentral. Lineage: Eukaryota; Metazoa; Chordata; Mammalia; Rodentia; Sciuridae.